Molecule: long non-coding RNA, 3675 nt
Filed under: Homo sapiens (human)
Lineage: Eukaryota; Metazoa; Chordata; Mammalia; Primates; Hominidae
Description: HSALNT0172785
Source: RNAcentral
GUUUUUUUUGUUUGUUUUUGUUUUAAUCUCAGACUGCUAUUCGUUAGUGGGUCGUGGAAGAAUUAAAUGGGCCGUGAUUAAAAUUAACAAAAGAGAACUGAUUUCCAUAGCUAGACAGAAUCUUAAGAUGUUGGAAUCAACAAGAUGGAUGAUUUUAUUUGCUUGUACAACCUAAAGCCCUUUGUUCUAGGCAACCAUAUGAACCUGCUACUUGUGAGGGCAUAUAAGUCAGUAGGUGGCAUACUUCACCAUCAGAAUAAUGUUCUUCAAACUAAAUUUUAAAUCUUGGAACUGCCUUGUGGAUGAACUGAGAUGCCGCCCUGGGUUUUAGGCUAGCUUUGUCUCAGGCUGCCGUCUGGAUUGAAUAAGGGCAUCUGCUUCCGCAGAUACUGGCCUAUUAGGGGAAGACAUUCUGGGGCACUAUGGAAGAAGACAAAACGAUUUUGAGUUUUAGCUCUUUUCAGACUAGUUAUGCACCAUUGGGGCAAGGUACAUAAUUUCACCAAGCCUUAGUUUUUCUGUAAAUUGGAGAUAACAGAAACAAGCUCAUGGUGUGGCUGCAAGGAUUACUAUAAAGUGCUCACCACAGUCCCCAUGGCAAAAUUGGCAUUCUAUAAAUAUACCUAAUAUUUUAUUAUUAAUUAUUCUUAUGAAUAAAAUUGAUGUGGAAGGCUGCAUGUUUAAACUAAUUUCAAGGGCAAUUCUAGGUUGGCUUCUCAGAUGAUCAGUUUCUUUUGGUACCUUUUAUAAGUUCAGCAAGUAAUGUCUGGCUUGUGCGAGGGGGGAUUGAAUACAAUAAAAUGGAACCUUAUUGAUGAGUUUGAAGGUAAAAUUCAAACUCAGGAGAGAAAUGGUGAAUCACUGAAUAUUACAUUUGUGAUAUUGGCUGUAACUAACUGAGUUAAGUUUAAGAGGGAUAAAUACAUGUAAAGUCCCAUACUGAGUUUCAGAAAAUCAGUUAUACAAGUGCAUGUUAUGGUGAGCUAUGACAUAGCUUCUGGUCAAGUGCAAAGGAACGAGGCGCUGUGACUAAAUGCUCAGUGUGGCUAGUGAUGCAGCUGUCAAGAAAGCAAGUAUAUUCUCACAUAGUAUUACAAGGAUUUGAGUGUCCAAGCAAAAGACAACAGCAGCUUCUCUGUCCUCUACACUGGUGUUUGCUCUGUUUUGAAUUAUAUCCUUUUAAAAGAGAGAAUGACAAAUGGGAGCAUGAACAGAGGAACAUGACCAGGAAAAUGUUAUAUAAGGACAGUGUUGCUGUUUAUCUUGGAGGUAUGAUCACUGUCUUCCAAUUUCAAGUGUUUGGAAGUCUAUCAUUUGGAAGCCAAUGCACUAUGUAGAAUGGGCACUCAGUAAAAAUGUAUUGAACCAAUGAGGGGAUAAGCUUAUGUAGGUUAGAUCUAAAAGACAGCUACUGUGCAGAUCUAAAGGAUCUAAUGAAUGAAAAUCAGUUGGUUGAAGUUAUAGAAAGGCAAAUUUUAGCUCCAUAUUGAGAGACUUAACUGCAAAAGUGUUACCAGCUUACUGGGAAGGCUGUGUGUCUAUAAACUAUAGUCCACAUCUGAGUGCCUUAGAUAAAGCAUUCUUAAAUUCAGGGAAGGGAGAGUAUGAUUCUCUCCAGGGAAUCAGAAAAGAUUGCAAGGAAGGAGGGAAAAUAUAAGUUAGGUUUUAAUCGCAGUUAAGACUUGGAUACCCUAAAAGUGUGGUUUUAGAAGAAAAUGAGAGGAAGUAGGGGACAUUUUAGGUCAGUGAACCACACAGGCAAGAGCACCAAAGCAAGGAGUGUCUUCAGCUUCUAUGUGAGGUGAUAGGGUGUAAUUCACUUUACUUGGAGAGUGGUGAUCCAAUGAUUCCCCUGCCAUUUGUUUUGUAAGUUAAUCAAAAUAGGAGCCGAAAAUUCAGUCAGCUCAGCGUGCAGGAUCAUUGCAUUAUGAAACUGAACGUAUUUUUGAGAACUGAACGUAUAUAUUUUGAGUCGUGUGUCGAUCAGGAUUUCAUAAAGAAAUUAUGAUGUGAUUCUUUCACAAAGGAUCUUGCCCUAUGUACCUUUAAUAGUGUCUUUCUGCAAACAUGUAUCUAAUAUAUAGGGAAAUACUUUUAUUUGGAAUCUCUGAAUCAAGAGGGUUGUUUCUUUGAAUGAUUUUGUUAAAAUGAUCAAAGAAUAUUUUUCUAGAUGCUCACAGGAGAGCCACAAUUACACCAUUAGAGAUAAAUUUAUUUGGUCUUGAGUGUCACUUUUCAGGAUGUUCCUCAUAAGUUGCAACUAUUCCUAUCAAGUAUUUAAUAUGAGCUUCAACUAAUAAGGAAACAUUAAUUAUUAGCCAAGUGGGAACAAAUUCCAGUAGGAUUAGAACAUAGGAUGGGAAGAGAUUUAGGGGCAGGGACAUGUGUGCAUAAGGAAGGUGAGAUUCUUAGGUGCCAAUGAUGAAAUUUGCUUACAUCAUAAUUACAUUAUUUUUAAAGGAAGUUUGGUGUAUUCCUUAACUUGGCUUUAACAUUUAGCAGGAGCCCCUUUCUAUUUCAGUUUCAUUUUCAGCAUAGUAGCCUUUCUAUACUUUUUCUAUAAGACUUGGGCAACUGAUCCAGGCUUCACUAAGGCUUCUGAAGAAGAAAAGAAAGUGAAUAUCAUCACCCUUGCAGAAACUGGCUCUCUGGACUUCAGAACAUUUUGUACAUCAUGUCUUAUAAGGAAGCCAUUAAGGUCACUCCACUGCCAUGUAUGCAACUGCUGUGUGGCUCGAUAUGAUCAACACUGCCUGUGGACUGGACGGUGCAUAGGUUUUGGCAACCAUCACUAUUACAUAUUCUUCUUGUUUUUCCUUUCCAUGAUUUGUCCAGUCAUUGUGCCACAACAUUCAAAGAAGAUGGAUUAUGGACUUACCUCAAUCAGAUUGUGGCCUGUUCCCCUUGGGUUUUAUAUAUCUUGAUGCUAGCAACUUUCCAUUUCUCAUGGUCAACAUUUUUAUUAUUAAAUCAACUCUUUCAGAUUGCCUUUCUGGGCCUGACCUCCCAUGAGAGAAUCAGCCUGCAGAAGCAGAGCAAGCAUAUGAAACAGACGUUGUCCCUCAGGAAGACACCAUACAAUCUUGGAUUCAUGCAGAACCUGGCAGAUUUCUUUCAGUGUGGCUGCUUUGGCUUGGUGAAGCCCUGUGUGGUAGAUUGGACAUCACAGUACACCAUGGUCUUUCACCCAGCCAGGGAGAAGGUUCUUCGCUCAGUAUGAAGAAAAGCAACCCAAAACUCUCAAUCUGAUUUGUUUUUGUUUAUGUCGAUGCCCUGUAGUUUGAAAGUGAAGUAAAGAUUUAGAAUUCACCUAAGUCCAAAGGAAAACACGUGGUUUUUAAAGCCAUUAGGUAAAAAAAGUUCUCAAUAAAGGCAUUACAAUUUUUUAGGUUUAGAAAGAUGGACUUUUCUGAUAAAUCUUGGCAGACAUCUAAAAAAAAAACCAUAUUUUUCACAAGAAAAUGCAAGUUACUUUUUUUGGAAAUAAUACUCACUGAUUAUGGAUAAAAUGGAAUAUUUUCAGAUACUAUAUUGGCUGUUUCAAAAUAGUACUAUUCUUUAAACUUGUAAUUUUUGCUAAGUUAUUUGUCUUUGUUGUAUCUAUAAAUAUGUAAAAAAUAUUUAAAUAGAUGUACCUGUUUUGCUUUCACACUUAAUAAAAAAUUUUUUUUUGUA